UGGGACCUGUCCAACGUUGGCAUCCCCCGAUUAUCCACCAUGCAUAUUGACUCGGUGAGCUCAUAAGAGUGUCUUUUAGUGGUGUGUCCUCCAUAGCUGCCUCCAGCCUCAGCAUAGGGGUGUGAACU
Long non-coding RNA from Nanorana parkeri, 128 nucleotides. RefSeq lists it as uncharacterized. The transcript has 3 exons. NCBI's taxonomy places the organism in Eukaryota, Metazoa, Chordata, Amphibia, Anura, Dicroglossidae. The record is from RefSeq and is a predicted model, not a curated record.